Molecule: ribosomal RNA, 2353 nt
Filed under: Triticum aestivum (bread wheat)
Lineage: Eukaryota; Viridiplantae; Streptophyta; Magnoliopsida; Poales; Poaceae
Description: partial small subunit ribosomal RNA
Source: RNAcentral
CUCGCGCGUCUCCCCCGACCGCGAAAACCCUAUCCACCUCCACCCAGAGUCGCUGACUCCUCUCCCUCUCACCUCCUGAUUCAGGUCCAUGUCCAGCCUCCCUCCAUGCGCGGCUGCCGAUCUCCAGCGCCGCCGCGCCAACCAUCUCCCGCUCCACCUCUGUCUCCCACCCUCUCUCGCUCUGUCACCACCCCCACCCUCUCCGGCUCCCCCUGUGUAGCCUCCUCCGUUCCGCGAUGGGGCGGCCAUAGCGGCGCUCCUAGAUCUAUGUCAAGGGCAGCCCCCUGCUCGUCGUCAUGGGCGCGGUGGUCAUGAGGAAAGUGGUUGAGGACGGCGAGAUGGAAGUUGUAGCCUACCCGCUGCCCAGGACAAGGACGGCUACCCUGACGCUCCCCCUUCUUCACAAUCUCGCGCUGGGAGAGGAGGGGGUGGCCACUGUUUUCUUCUGCACUCCUCGGCCUUAUCCACAUCGCCACAGGUGACCUCGCCAGACCACUCGCUGUGAAGGUGGAGGAGAUAGCUGAAGUCGAGGGUGUUGUUGAUGACAUAAAAGGUGUUUAUAAAAUAGAGCCUUGUGAAGAACAAAGGAUACAAUACCGAAAGGUCAAUCGAAACUAAUUCUGUAGUACAAAAUAAUUAGCUAGCACUAACAACUAUGCACCCUUCUUUGUCCUGAUGUUCCUAUCCUUGAAGGAUGUUGCCUCACACAUGACAGUAGUUGCACGGCCUAUGAACGAUGUUCCCUCCCAACAACGCCUUUGUGUGCAUCCUCGCUGUUGGCGCUGUCAUGGCAGAAUCAUGCAAGCAUCGGCCAUGGAGGUGUCAUGUGUAUAGCAGUGUUGAUCCUUAAAUAUCUUUGUUGUGCUUUUUGUAUCGUCUUAGUGUGUGUGCGCUUGUUUCCAUUUUUUACUUAAUUUAUUGCUUGCUGCAACACCUAGUUCCUCCUAGUUUGAUAGAGUUGUUUGUUUUGUUCACGGUGGAUGCAUGCUAUGUAAAAUCUCAAAUGGUGUUUUUAUAGUUACAUGUCUAUUUUGACAAAAUGCUGAUUACUGACAUUUACUCUGCAUACCAAUUACUUUCUACCAUUCCUGAUUAUUCUCUACUGCUCUGUACAUUUUUAUAUGAGAAAACACCACCCACUCUGUACUCUACCAAUCAGUUUUCUGGGUUGCUUGGAAGAAAAGAACCAUUACUUGAAAACUAGCUAUGACAUAGACUAGAUCAUUUAAGCUUGGUUGAUAGAUAAAAUUCGGUUCAUGUGCUGGGACAAGUGUACAUUUUUUGUUCAGUGAAGAGUGUGUUUGUGUUGUCGGUGGCGACCUCCUCUGCCGCACGCCGGCGGUGGCCGACUUGCACUGUGACCCUGGCCAUUGAGAUGAACCUGAUCCUGGUCCAUGGUUAGUUAGGGUAUUGGUGCUGUUUGGGCUCGAUUAGCUCGAUUUGAUGUUGUUUUAGGCUUGAGAAAAGUUGUUCUCUUGUUGAAAUGAGAGGGAUAAGGUAGGUACUACAGCUGUUGGCAAUCGUGUACAUGCAAUGGUAGGCAACCAGAGAAUGUGUUGCAUUUGUAUGUCCUCAUGUUUAAAAUUUGUGUCUGGAAGUUAUUACUGGAUCUACUAUCCCAAUAAUUUUUUAUUUCCUAAAUCUCAUGGUAAAUCUGGAAGUUGCAUUGCAUAUAUGUGUAUUGCACCAUACUAGUAAACUUCUAAAAGCAAGUGGAGCUCAACCUUUAUAAUGCACUCUGCAUUCUGCAGAUUAUGCCAUACUUAUUUGCAUGUCAUGCUAUAUGAACAAGCACUGUGGUUGUGAUUGUUAUGCUGGGAACGAUGUUCCUCAUGGUCCCAAUAAUGUUGUUAGUAUGGAAGAGGCACAGGAUCCUUGUUGUCACAUUCCUUGAGCUCUCGUUGAUGGAGGAUAAAUGGAAAUAAGUGAUCAUCUAGUGGAGACAGAGAUAACAAGUACAGACAAACUGCAGGGUACCAAGUAGAGACAAACUGCUACACUGUGGUAUGUUGCUGUCCAUCAGAAUCCGCCAUGCCAUAUAGUUGCCAUCAGGAGCUUUGACGACAAGAACACGAGUGACAACCUUGGUAGUUAUAUGUUUUGUCGAUGUAAAUUGGAUUGUACCAGUUCCUAAUCCUAUGGAUGGUUGCAAAUUGAGUGAUUUUGUCAACAUAUGGUGUAUAUUAUCAUUUCAUGGAGGAUAUUAUAAACUGCUAGGUUCUACAUACCUAUAGAUGGUUGCAUAUUGAGUGAUUUGUGUAACAUAUGGUACUUUGGAAAUAUUGUCCUCGUCCAAAAUUGGCAUUAUGAUUUACGGAACACAUUAUGCUAAAGGCGUAUUUGAUCAAAAUUG